Molecule: ribosomal RNA, 484 nt
Filed under: uncultured bacterium
Lineage: Bacteria
Description: partial 16S ribosomal RNA
Rfam family: Bacterial small subunit ribosomal RNA
Source: RNAcentral
AUUGAACGCUGGCGGCAGGCCUAACACAUGCAAGUCGAGCGGAUGAAGGGAGCUUGCUCCUGGAUUCAGCGGCGGACGGGUGAGUAAUGCCUAGGAAUCUGCCUGGUAGUGGGGGAUAACGUCCGGAAACGGGCGCUAAUACCGCAUACGUCCUGAGGGAGAAAGUGGGGGAUCUUCGGACCUCACGCUAUCAGAUGAGCCUAGGUCGGAUUAGCUAGUUGGUGGGGUAAAGGCCUACCAAGGCGACGAUCCGCAACUGGUCUGAGAGGAUGAUCAGUCACACUGGGACUGAGACACGGUCCAGACUCCUACGGGAGGCAGCAGUGGGGAAUAUUGGACAAUGGGCGAAAGCCUGAUCCAGCCAUGCCGCGUGUGUGAAGAAGGUCUUCGGAUUGUAAAGCACUUUAAGUUGGGAGGAAGGGCAGUAAGUUAAUACCUUGCUGUUUUGACGUUACCAACAGAAUAAGCACCGGCUAACUUCGUG